AGGAUUUCUACUUGUGCUAGACUUUUGAUUGCUACAUUUUGGAAUAUUUCCAACCACAUCUUAAAUGCACAGAAAUAUAUGGCACAUCUACCCAAUGGAUUUGAAAGCACACUUGGAAUCCAUGGGGAACCAAGACCUUAAGGUCACUCAUUUAUUUUCUUCUAGGCUUGCAGAUGGUCUGCACCUAUUCCCUCUCCCUCGCCUUCCUUCUC
Non-coding RNA from Pelobates cultripes (western spadefoot toad), 212 nucleotides. The record is from the annotation of a GenBank genome assembly. Lineage: Eukaryota; Metazoa; Chordata; Amphibia; Anura; Pelobatidae.